Molecule: transfer RNA, 541 nt
Filed under: uncultured Prochlorococcus sp.
Lineage: Bacteria; Bacillati; Cyanobacteriota; Cyanophyceae; Synechococcales; Prochlorococcaceae
Description: partial 16S-23S ribosomal RNA intergenic spacer
Rfam family: tRNA (bases 211-283)
Source: RNAcentral
CAGGGAGACAACAAAAUGUUUAAUAUUAAUUUUGUCACCUUAGGUCGAUCGGUAUCUCACAUUCUUAAUUUAUUAAGGAUUUCAUUUCCUAAGUUUUUUCUAGGUCACACCCAUUAUUUUUCCUGGGCCAUUAGCUCAGGUGGUUAGAGCGCACCCCUGAUAAGGGUGAGGUCCCUGGUUCAAGUCCAGGAUGGCCCAUAUCUCUAUGUUGGGGGUAUAGCUCAGUUGGUAGAGCGCCUGCUUUGCAAGCAGGAUGUCAGCGGUUCGAGUCCGCUUACCUCCACUGAUUUCCACCUCUUUCAUAAUCUAUUGAAAGGAAAUGUUUUGAGAUGUGAUCAAAUUCUGAACGAAUCUAGCUUCCUAAUAUAAAUUAUUAAGAUGCUGGACUCAUUGAAUUAAUUUCAUUGUUUUCAGAGAACCUUGACAACUGCAUAGAUUAUUUUUAAAGACAAUAAGCAUCUUUAAUGAUGCAGAUUUAUUAUUUGUGCGAAUGCAUUAAUAACAAUUCUAUUAAGCUGAUGCUUCAAUUUUUGAAGUUAUU